CGAACGGGUGAGUAACGCGUGGGGAAUCUGCCUUUGAGCGGGGGACGAACAUUUGGAAACGAAUGCUAAUACCGCAUAAAAACUUUAAAACACAAGUUUUAAGUUUGAAAGAUGCAAUUGCAUCACUCAAAGAUGAUCCCGCGUUGUAUUAGCUAGUUGGUGAGGUAAAGGCUCACCGAGGCGAUGAUACAUAGCCGACCUGAGAGGGUGAUCGGCCACAUUGGGACUGAGACACGGCCCAGACUCCUACGGGAGGCAGCAUG
RNAcentral lists this ribosomal RNA (263 nucleotides) under uncultured bacterium. RNAcentral's name for it is "partial 16S ribosomal RNA". It matches the Rfam family "Bacterial small subunit ribosomal RNA", at positions 99 to 353 of the family's 1533-position model. The record is from RNAcentral.